AUGUAUUUAGAACUAAAAUACAUCCUCUCGAGAAGAGAAGAUAGGCGUGCGUGCCUAGACUGUAAGGUGAUACCUGGGGAGAGUGUUGUACCCCAGCAUAAGCUGGUGGUUGCUGACUUCCGCUUUCGGAUUCGUGUCCAGCGGGAUAAGCGUGCCAAGAUCGCUAGAACGAAGUGGUGGAAGCUCAAGGGGGAGGUAGCUCAGGUGUUCAAGGAGUGGGUAUUUAAGGAGGGCCCUUGGGAGGAAGGAGGGGAUGCGGACAAUGUAUGGAUGAAGAUGGCGACUUGCAUUCGUAAGGUGGCCUCAGAGGAGUUUGGAGUGUCCAGGGGAAGGAGAAGCGAAGAUAAGGAUACCUGGUGGUGGAAUGAUGAUGUCCAGAAGGCGCUUAAAAAGAAGAAAGAUUGCUUCAGACGCCUAUACCUGGAUAGGAGUGCAGACAACAUAGAGAAGUACAAGAUGGCGAAGAAGGCCGCAAAGCGAGCUAUUGGUGAAGCAAGGGGUCGGGCAUAUGAGGACCUCUACCAACGGUUAGGCACGAAGGAAGGUGAAAGGGACAUCUAUAAGAUGGCUAAGAUCCGGGAGAGGAAGACGAGGGAUAUUGGCCAAGUCAAAUGCAUCAAGGACGGAGCAGGCCAACUCUUGGUGAAGGACGAAGAGAUUAAGCAUAGAUGGCGGGAGUACUUCGACAAGCUGUUCAAUGGGGAGAAUGAGAGUUCUACCAUUGAACUGAAUGACUCCUUUGAUGAGACCAGCAUGCGUUUUGUGCGGCGCAUCCAGGAGUCUGAGGUGAAGGAGGCUUUAAAAAGGAUGAAAGGGGGCAAGGCGAUGGGCCCUGAUUGUAUCCCCAUUGAGGUGUGGAAAGGUCUCGGGGACAUAGCGAUAGUAUGGCUAACCAAGCUUUUCAACCUCAUUUUUCGGGCAAACAAGAUGCCAGAAGAAUGGAAACGGAGUAUAUUAGUACCAAUCUUCAAGAACAAGGGGGAUGUUCAGAGUUGUACUAAUUACCGUGGAAUUAAGCUGAUGAGCCAUACAAUGAAGCUAUGGGAGAGAGUCAUUGAGCACCGCUUAAGAAGAAUGACAAGCGUGACCAAAAAUCAGUUUGGUUUCAUGCCUGGGAGGUCGACCAUGGAAGCCAUUUUCUUGGUACGACAACUUAUGGAGAGAUAU
This 1167-nucleotide ribosomal RNA is filed under the name Triticum aestivum (bread wheat). RNAcentral describes it as "partial small subunit ribosomal RNA". Lineage: Eukaryota; Viridiplantae; Streptophyta; Magnoliopsida; Poales; Poaceae. The record is from RNAcentral.